CUGAUGGAGCACGCCGCGUGAGUGAAGAAGGGUUUCGGCUCGUAAAACUCUGUUGUUAAAGAAGAACAUAUCUGAGAGUAACUGUUCAGGUAUUGACGGUAUUUAACCAGAAAGCCACGGCUAACUACGUGCCAGCAGCCGCGGUAAUACGUAGGUGGCAAGCGUUGUCCGGAUUUAUUGGGCGUAAAGCGAGCGCAGGCGGUUUUUUAAGUCUGAUGUGAAAGCCUUCGGCUCAACCGAAGAAGUGCAUCGGAAACUGGGAAACUUGAGUGCAGAAGAGGACAGUGGAACUCCAUGUGUAGCGGUGAAAUGCGUAGAUAUAUGGAAGAACACCAGUGGCGAAGGCGGCUGUCUGGUCUGUAACUGACGCUGAGGCUCGAAAGUAUGGGUAGCAAACAGGAUUAGAUACCCUGGUAGUCCAUACCGUAAACGAUGAAUGCUAAGUGUUGGAGGGUUUCCGCCCUUCAGUGCUGCAGCUAACGCAUUAAGCAUUCCGCCUGGGGAGUACGGCCGCAAGGCUGAAACUCAAAGGAAUUGACGGGGGCCCGCACAAGCGGUGGAGCAUGUGGUUUAAUUCGAAGCUACGCGAAGAACCUUACCAGGUCUUGACAUACUAUGCAAAUCUAAGAGAUUAGACGUUCCCUUCGGGGACAUGGAUACAGGUGGUGCAUGGUUGUCGUCAGCUCGUGUCGUGAGAUGUUGGGGUUAAGUCCCGCAACGAGCGCAACCCUUUAUUAUCAGGUUGGGUUAAGUCCCGCAACGA
RNAcentral lists this ribosomal RNA (763 nucleotides) under Lactiplantibacillus plantarum. RNAcentral describes it as "bacterial SSU rRNA". It matches the Rfam family "Bacterial small subunit ribosomal RNA", at positions 383 to 1140 of the family's 1533-position model. The record is from RNAcentral. Lineage: Bacteria; Bacillati; Bacillota; Bacilli; Lactobacillales; Lactobacillaceae.